UUAUGGCCAUAUCACAUUGAAAAACUGGUUCUCAUAUGAUCACCAAAGAUGAGCAACAUCAAGUCUGGUCAGUACUUAGAAGGGUGACCACUUGGGAAUACCAGAUGGCUGUAAG
Acanthosepion pharaonis is the source of this 115-nucleotide non-coding RNA. The record is from the annotation of a GenBank genome assembly. NCBI's taxonomy places the organism in Eukaryota, Metazoa, Mollusca, Cephalopoda, Sepiida, Sepiidae.